Molecule: ribosomal RNA, 846 nt
Filed under: Triticum aestivum (bread wheat)
Lineage: Eukaryota; Viridiplantae; Streptophyta; Magnoliopsida; Poales; Poaceae
Description: partial small subunit ribosomal RNA
Source: RNAcentral
AGGCCCUGGUUUGGAAUGAAACUCCCCUGCUCUGAAUCGGAUAUGCAGCUCUUUCAUGCCUCCACCAACAUUCACCUUGGAAAUGGGCAAACUGCGAGUUUCUGGAAGUCAAAGUGGCUGGAUGGGGCCGCACCAUGUGACCUUGCACCCUCCCUCUUCAAGCUGGCACGCAGGAAAAACUACACUGUGGCUCAAGCCAUGCAUGACAGGAAGUGGAUGAAGGGGCUUGAAAGAAUCAGCUCCCAUGAUGAUCUGCACUCCUUUCUGCUUCUGUGGGAGAAGAUUUAGAGUGUCAACUUAUCUGAAACAAGAGAUACCAUUGAUUGGAUCUGGACGAAGGACAAGAAAUACACCGCCAAGUCUGCAUAUUCCUGUCAGUUCAUUGGUUCGAUUGCCAAGCCUGAUGCUGACCUGAUCUGGAGGCUCAAGAUUGAAAGAAAGGUGAGGUUUUUCAUCUGGACUUUGGCUCAAAACAGACUCCCAACCACUGACAGGCUGCGAGCCCAUGGGAGCGAUCAUAACGCGACGUGUUCUCUCUGCCUCCAACUCCCUGAAACUGCACUCCACCUCUUCAACACAUGCCUUUUUUCCAAGGAUGUUUGGAACAAGCUAUGCUUGGCACGGCCCUUGUGCUACCAUUCCCUACCUGCUAGCAUUCAGUCCAUCUCUCAUUGGUGGAGUGUUUGCUCCCAGCGCAACAAAGAGCAGGCCGUUGCUGCUGCUUAUUUUGCUUGGCACAUGUGGAAUGAGAGGAACAUGAGGGUCUUCAACGCCAAGUCUACCUCAGCGGACGGCGUGGUUUCUCUGAUAAAAGCUGACUUAGAUUUCCUGAGAGUAGCGCUGUGA